Long non-coding RNA from Paramisgurnus dabryanus, 1789 nucleotides. RefSeq lists it as uncharacterized. The record is from RefSeq and is a predicted model, not a curated record. Lineage: Eukaryota; Metazoa; Chordata; Actinopteri; Cypriniformes; Cobitidae.
UCCUUAUGACAUGGAUGUUUUCUUUAUUGUUAUUAUUGGCAAUGUUUAACAUUUAAUUUUAAUAGUGUUUCCAGUCUAACAAAGAGAUAUGGAUAUAUUUAUGGACAAGUUUCACACAGUAUCAUCACAUUUACAUUUUCUUAAGAGUGUAUUAUCGUGUUUGGUGGCAGUUGCCAUUAAAUACUCCUGACAAGUCAUUUGAAACAUAUAAAUCUACAAAAACAAUAUCUCUGUUGAGGAAUAAACUUAUGCUGCCCCCUCCAGGAAUAUCAGAGGAAACACAUUUUUAACCUUCUGCACUGUAUUUCUUAGUGCAAAUCUAAGAUUAUGAGAAAUAAUAAAGCAAAAAUUAUCUGAAUAAAGUUGUAACAUUAAAGUAUUUGAACUUGAACAUUUUGAGAAUACAAUGGAAAUUUGUCAUACUGGUAUUUAUUCACUCAUCUAUUGUUAAAAUUUGCAUUUUUUCUAAAAAAUUUCAAAUAAUAUAAAUCGUUCAGUUAUACACACUUGCAAAUUUAUAUAGCAAAAGAAUAUAUCGAAAUAAGUUAGUUUUAAGCUAUCUGAUCAUACAAUUUGUAAAGAAAUUGAUAUUUUAAUGAAUAUAUUCAUAGAAAACCUUAGAUAUUGCACUAGUGACAAUUCAUCAUAAAAUCUCUAUCCAGCAUCCUUUAGACCAGGAGUGGGGAACCCUGGGUCCUGGAGGGGCACUGUCCUGCAGAGUUUAGUUCCAACCCUAAUCAAACACACACAGCAAAAUCACCAGUGUUAAAUUUUCAGGGAUGGUGUUAAAUACACAGUGUUGAUGCUGUUUUAACACUAUCUGGUAAUAAAAUAACACUGCCAUUGCUAGGCCAGUGUUAUAUUCACAACAGUGUCAGUGUUAAACAAGGGUGUUAUCAGAUUUCACUCUGAGCGGUGUAAAUCAAGCCACGCCUCCACUAAACAUAUCCUGUCAGGGAUUUUACCGCCAUUUUCUUUCAGAGGAGAACUGAAGAGAUCAGAUGCUAGUUUGGUGAAAGUUCACACUCAGUGCUUCAAAUCAUUCAGACGAGAUGCUGUUUUUAGGGCAGUUUAUUAAAGAAGACCUGACAUGGAUGACUUCCAAUGAGAAACGACUGCUAAUACUUAUAUAAAUUCAUUACAGAAGGACCCUACCUGACUAUAUUUGAAUACGGCAUACCCAUGAAUUCUGGAACUGUUAUUCCUUAACCCAGUUUGGAGGAUAAGAGCUUACCAACUAGUUAUAAAUAUGCUGAGGUGAUGUAUUGCAAAAUAGCCAACAUACAACAAUAUGGAUGACCCUCUGUCUGGUCAACAGGAGUUUAAAUAUGGACGGGACAGUGAUGUGGCAGCUCUUCCCUGGCUCAUUCACCUCUUGCCUUCAUUUGUGAAAGGAAGAAAGAAGAAAGACUGGAGAGGGUCAAUGUGCAACUGAAGCUACUGAUUGUGCUAUGUGAUGAGCAUCAAUCCAUGCUUUGAGGGGGGAUGAAUCAGCACAGCCCUGCCUGCACUGCGUUGGGAACAGAAGUUGCAUCCAGAAUUUUUGCAUCAUUCUGGACCAAAAAGCCAUUCCCUCCAUGAUGAAGACCACUGAUGCAGCCUUCCACUACAUCAUGAGUAAAACAACUACAGAACUAAAUACCAGGUUGGAACGUAUUUAAGAAAAAUGAAAUGUCUUUUGAAUUGAAAUGUCUGUUUUGUUAUGGAAAAAUCUUUAGUAUUGUGAAGGAUAAGCAUUUCUGCCUGCCAGUAAGGUAAUUGCAGUGUAUUUUAAUGUUCAAGUUUUGAG